RNAcentral lists this ribosomal RNA (562 nucleotides) under uncultured fungus. Its description in RNAcentral is "eukaryotic LSU rRNA". The stretch from base 197 to 350 matches the Rfam family "5.8S ribosomal RNA". The record is from RNAcentral. Lineage: Eukaryota; Fungi.
AAGUCGUAACAAGGUCUCCGUUGGUGAACCAGCGGAGGGAUCAUUACCGAGUUAUUCAACUCAUCAACCCUGUGAACAUACCUAAACGUUGCUUCGGCGGGAACAGACGGCCCCGUGAAACGGGCCGCCCCCGCCAGAGGACCCCUAACUCUGUUUCUAUAAUGUUUCUUCUGAGUAAAACAAGCAAAUAAAUUAAAACUUUCAACAACGGAUCUCUUGGCUCUGGCAUCGAUGAAGAACGCAGCGAAAUGCGAUAAGUAAUGUGAAUUGCAGAAUUCAGUGAAUCAUCGAAUCUUUGAACGCACAUUGCGCCCGCCAGUAUUCUGGCGGGCAUGCCUGUUCGAGCGUCAUUACAACCCUCAGGCCCCCGGGCCUGGCGUUGGGGAUCGGCGGAGCCCCCCGUGGGCACACGCCGUCCCCCAAAUACAGUGGCGGUCCCGCCGCAGCUUCCAUCGCGUAGUAGCUAACACCUCGCGACUGGAGAGCGGCGCGGCCACGCCGUAAAACACCCAACUCUUCUGAAGUUGACCUCGAAUCAGGUAGGAAUACCCGCUGAACUUAA